RNAcentral lists this ribosomal RNA (489 nucleotides) under uncultured bacterium. Its description in RNAcentral is "partial 16S ribosomal RNA". It matches the Rfam family "Bacterial small subunit ribosomal RNA", at positions 28 to 507 of the family's 1533-position model. The record is from RNAcentral.
GACGAACGCUGGCGGCGUGCUUAACACAUGCAAGUCGAACGAACAGACGCCCAGCUUGGUGGUGGUACGUUAGCGGCGGACGGGUGAGUAACACGUGGAUAACCUGCCCUGUACUCUGGGAUAACCUCGGGAAACUGUAUCUAAUACCGGAUAAUACCAUGAACUGCAUUGUUCAGGAGUGAAAAACGUUGUUUUUGUCACGUAUAGGCGCAUCCCCUAUGAGUUGGCUGGUUGGUUAGUGACCUACCAAAGCGUCGACAGGUAGCCGGCCUGAGAGAGUGGACGGCCACAAUGGGACUGAGAGACGAGCCAGAUACGUACGGGAGGCAGCAGUGGGGAAUAUCGCUCAAUGGGAGCAAGCCUGAUGCAGCGAGGCCGAGUGGUGGAUGACGGCCUUUGGUUAGAAACUUUCUUUAGGUAGGAACGAAGCUAUACCUUUUUGGGGUGUGGUGACCGUACCUUUGUUAAGAAGCACCGGCUAACUACGUG